Molecule: ribosomal RNA, 320 nt
Filed under: uncultured eukaryote
Lineage: Eukaryota
Description: partial 18S ribosomal RNA
Rfam family: Eukaryotic small subunit ribosomal RNA
Source: RNAcentral
CCCCUAGAUGUUCUGGGCCGCACGCGCGCUACACUGAACAGUUCAACAAGUCUUAACCUUGGCCGAUAGGUCUGGGUAAUCUUUGAACGCUGUUCGUGAUUGGGAUAGACCUUUGCAAUUAUGGGUCUUCAACGAGGAAUUCCUAGUAAACGCAAGUCAUCAGCUUGCAUUGAUUACGUCCCUGCCCUUUGUACACACCGCCCGUCGCACCUACCGAUUGAAUGGUCCGGUGAAAUCUCGGGACGGCGGCUUGGUCGCUUGCGUCCGACUGCUGAAACUUGAUUAAACCAUAGCAUUUAGAGGAAGGUGAANUCGUANCA